UACGAAGGGGGGCUAGCGUUGUUCGGAAUUACUGGGCGUAAAGCGCGCGUAGGCGGACUGGCAAGUCGGGGGUGAAAUGCCGAGGCUCAACCUCGGAACUGCCUUCGAUACUGCCAGUCUUGAGGUCGGGAGAGGUGAGUGGAACUCCGAGUGUAGAGGUGAAAUUCGUAGAUAUUCGGAAGAACACCAGUGGCGAAGGCGGCUCACUGGCCCGAUUCGUGACGCUGAGGCGGCGAAAAGCGUGGGGAGCAAA
Molecule: ribosomal RNA, 253 nt
Filed under: uncultured bacterium
Lineage: Bacteria
Description: partial 16S ribosomal RNA
Rfam family: Bacterial small subunit ribosomal RNA
Source: RNAcentral